This 386-nucleotide ribosomal RNA is filed under the name uncultured bacterium. Its description in RNAcentral is "bacterial SSU rRNA". It matches the Rfam family "Bacterial small subunit ribosomal RNA", at positions 28 to 417 of the family's 1533-position model. The record is from RNAcentral.
GACGAACGCUGGCGGCGUGCUUAACACAUGCAAGUCGAGCGGUAAGGCCCUUUCGGGGGUACACGAGCGGCGAACGGGUGAGUAACACGUGGGUGACCUGCCCUCAGCUCUGGGAUAAGCCUGGGAAACUGGGUCUAAUACCGGAUAUGACUUCGCAUCGCAUGGUGUGGGGUGGAAAGUUUUUCGGCUGGGGAUGGGCCCGCGGCCUAUCAGCUUGUUGGUGGGGUGAUGGCCUACCAAGGCGACGACGGGUAGCCGGCCUGAGAGGGCGACCGGCCACACUGGGACUGAGACACGGCCCAGACUCCUACGGGAGGCAGCAGUGGGGAAUAUUGCGCAAUGGGCGAAAGCCUGACGCAGCGACGCCGCGUGAGGGAUGACGGCCU